Molecule: ribosomal RNA, 497 nt
Filed under: uncultured bacterium
Lineage: Bacteria
Description: partial 16S ribosomal RNA
Rfam family: Bacterial small subunit ribosomal RNA
Source: RNAcentral
GAUGAACGCUGGCGGCGUGCCUAAUACAUGCAAGUCGAGCGAACAGACGAGGAGCUUGCUCCUCUAACGUUAGCGGCGGACGGGUGAGUAACACGUGGAUAACCUACCUAUAAGACUGGGAUAACUUCGGGAAACCGGAGCUAAUACCGGAUAAUAUAUUGAACCGCAUGGUUCAAUAGUGAAAGACGGUUUUGCUGUCACUUAUAGAUGGAUCCGCGCCGCAUUAGCUAGUUGGUAAGGUAACAGCUUACCAAGGCAACGAUGCGUAGCCGACCUGAGAGGGUGAUCGGCCACACUGGAACUGAGCCACGGUCCAGACUCCUACGGGAGGCAGCAGUAGGGAAUCUUCCGCAAUGGGCGAAAGCCUGACGGAGCAACGCCGCGUGAGUGAUGAAGGUCUUCGGAUCGUAAAACUCUGUUAUUAGGGAAGAACAAAUGUGUAAGUAACUAUGCACGUCUUGACGGUACCUAAUCAGAAAGCCACGGCUAACUACGUG